Long non-coding RNA from Thalassophryne amazonica, 665 nucleotides. RefSeq lists it as uncharacterized. The record is from RefSeq and is a predicted model, not a curated record. NCBI's taxonomy places the organism in Eukaryota, Metazoa, Chordata, Actinopteri, Batrachoidiformes, Batrachoididae. The transcript has 2 exons.
AAAGAGCGUAAGUGUGACACUUUGACACAGGUGUAAUAGAGAGUUUUCUUGCUGAUACUCUCAAACUCUCCAAAAGCAGGUGUCCUGAAAGACAGGAGAGCCCCCUACUCCUCCUGCCACGCCCCCACUGCAGGCAAGCCAGUCAGAGAGGGAAGAUGUACUCACAUUCAUCAUCCCACUGGUCAGACAGAGUACGGUUCUCAGCAAACACUCUGUGGGGCUCUGGCAGGGAAGCACAAACCUCCUCCACCACCCUGAGCAGCAUCCUGGAGGACUAAACUCCCGCUGACUCCGCCAACCUCACAACAGAUGUGCGCAGUAGAUGGCCCAGUUUGGUGCACCCCGCCUCCGCAGAGUGGCAGAUGACAACCCGGGUGAGCUAACAAAGUCAUUGAGGAAAAGAUGCUCUUCAGACAGCCACUUCCCAGGUGUGCCUACAUUGUCCCUGUGCACAGCGAGGACCUGCCAUGCCUGGAGAACUGACCGGUAAAAAGCAGAGGACACGUGCCAUAUCCUGCCAGCUCAGUCCAGAGGUGUACAAUGGUCACUGAGCAGCCUGCAACCUGAAGGUCAACACCCGAGCAGAAAUGUCCACCAGCCCCUGUCCUCCUUCAUGAAGAGGCAUAUACAGCACGGGGGCCCUGAUCCAUUGAUGGCCUGACCAG